CUCUUCAUCACCAUCAAGGUACUGAGAAGUAGGCCUCCUUCUCAAGCACCGUGACCGGCCGACCCGAAGACGGCUCACAGUCACCUCAGUGUACACUAGCCCUGGCAGGAUAGCUAUCAACUGCCUAGGACCCGAUCGUCUCAUCUCAACUCAUCAGUAGAGGGUAAACAUACAAGCUCAGCAUCAUCAUAAAAAUAUUGGCAAGUCAAAAUUUCUCAAACAUCAUCAUAAUCUCAAAACAUCAAACAUCUCAUAAUUUCAUCAUCAUUUAAAAUAGUUCAGAAAAGCUCUUAAAUUGUAUACUCAAAAUAAUGCCCAC
Molecule: long non-coding RNA, 319 nt
Filed under: Salvia miltiorrhiza (redroot sage)
Lineage: Eukaryota; Viridiplantae; Streptophyta; Magnoliopsida; Lamiales; Lamiaceae
Description: long non-coding RNA (SMIL_LNC010569)
Source: RNAcentral